UACGGAGAGUGCAAACGUUGUUCGGAUUCACUGGGCGUAAAGGGCACGUAGGCGGCUCGGCAAAUCGGUCGUGGAAUCUCGACGCUUACCGUCGAAACGGCGGCCGAAAAUACCGGGCUCGAGGGCGUGAGGGGUCACUGGAACUCCUGGUGAAGCGGUGAAAUGCGUAGAUAUCAGGAGGAACGCCGGAGGCGACAGCGAGUGACUGGCGCGUUCCUGACGCUGAGGUGCGAAAGCUAGGGGAGCAAACAGG
RNAcentral lists this ribosomal RNA (253 nucleotides) under uncultured bacterium. RNAcentral's name for it is "partial 16S ribosomal RNA". It matches the Rfam family "Bacterial small subunit ribosomal RNA", at positions 524 to 776 of the family's 1533-position model. The record is from RNAcentral.